GGCUGCGUAGCUCAGUGGUAGAGCAGCGGUUUCAUAAGCCGCGCGCCGAG
Molecule: transfer RNA, 50 nt
Filed under: Elusimicrobia bacterium RIFOXYA2_FULL_40_6
Lineage: Bacteria; Pseudomonadati; Elusimicrobiota
Description: tRNA-Met
Rfam family: tRNA
About the family: Transfer RNA (tRNA) molecules are approximately 80 nucleotides in length.
Source: RNAcentral